AACGAACGCUGGCGGCAGGCCUAACACAUGCAAGUCGAGCGAGGACUUCGGUCCUAGCGGCGGACGGGUGAGUAACGCGUGGGAACGUGCCCUUUGCUUCGGAAUAGCCCUGGGAAACUGGGAGUAAUACCGGAUGAGCCCUUUGGGGGAAAGAUUUAUCGGCGAAGGAUCGGCCCGCGUUGGAUUAGGUAGUUGGUGGGGUAAUGGCCUACCAAGCCGACGAUCCAUAGCUGGUUUGGGAGGAUGAUCAGCCACACUGGGACUGAGACACGGCCCAGACUCCUACGGGAGGCAGCAGUGGGGAGUCUUAGACGAUGGGGGAAACCCUGAUCUAGCCAUGCCGCGUGAGCGAUGAAGGCCUUAGGGUUGUAAAGCUCUUUCAGCUGGGAAGAUAAUGACGGUACCAGCAGAAGAAGCCCCGGCUAACUCCGUG
Molecule: ribosomal RNA, 433 nt
Filed under: uncultured bacterium
Lineage: Bacteria
Description: partial 16S ribosomal RNA
Rfam family: Bacterial small subunit ribosomal RNA
Source: RNAcentral